GAUGAACGCUGGCGGCGUGCCUAACACAUGCAAGUCGAGCGAUCUUCUUCGGAAGAGAGCGGCGGACGGGUGAGUAACGCGUGGGUAACCUGCCUCAUACACAUGGAUAACAUACCGAAAGGUAUGCUAAUACAAGAUGAUAUAAGAGAUUCGCAUGGAUUUCUUAUCAAAGCUCCGGCGGUAUGAGAUGGACCCGCGUCUGAUUAGCUAGUUGGUAAGGUAACGGCUUACCAAGGCGACGAUCAGUAGCCGACCUGAGAGGGUGAUCGGCCACAUUGGAACUGAGACACGGUCCAAACUCCUACGGGAGGCAGCAGUGGGGAAUAUUGCACAAUGGGCGAAAGCCUGAUGCAGCAACGCCGCGUGAGCGAUGAAGGCCUUCGGGUCGUAAAGCUCUGUCCUCAAGGAAGAUAAUGACGGUACCUGACUAAGAAGCUCCGGCUAAAUACGUGCCAGCCGCCGCGGUAA
Molecule: ribosomal RNA, 468 nt
Filed under: uncultured bacterium
Lineage: Bacteria
Description: partial 16S ribosomal RNA
Rfam family: Bacterial small subunit ribosomal RNA
Source: RNAcentral